GCUGUGCAAUUGCAUCUGGAGGAAAUUAAAAAUCUAACAGAAAAAGAAGUUCAGAAAAUGGAAUUGUUGAAAAAUAUUGCAACUGCAAUGGAAUUACAACGGAAAGAAUUACCAAUGGAGAGUA
Molecule: non-coding RNA, 124 nt
Organism: Parasteatoda tepidariorum (common house spider)
Lineage: Eukaryota; Metazoa; Arthropoda; Arachnida; Araneae; Theridiidae
Source: RefSeq, a predicted model, not a curated record